UCGCUGUGCUGCUUCUGCAGGUCCUCACAGUCCCCGUGCAGCUUCCAGGCGUUCCCGAAGUCCUCCACGAGCGUCUCCACCAGGCCCGCGGGCGUGAGGAAGUCGUCACCCCUAUUGCCGUUGUAAUUCCCACACAGGCCGCAUGUCUUCCCGGCGUAGACAGGGGACAGCUGCGGGGAGAGGCGAACCACCUUGGAGCCCGUGGCCGCCAAAGCAGACACAGCUUCCAGUCUCUAAUGAGACGGUUAUAACCAAAAAGAGCUCUCCGAGUGAAAAAUAAAUACGAAUUUAAUAAACCGUAGGCAAGCCCGAGGCUGAAGAGGGAAGAAAAGCUAACUGUACUCUUGGGGCAGCUGCUGGUUUCUACUGCGAGGGUCCUGAUUCAGAGAUGCAGCCGUGACUGGGACCCCAGAGUCCUGCCUCCUGCUCUGCAUGCAGUUCACAUAGCUGAUGACCUCCCUGUGUUGAAACCAUCAUGCACUAGAAGUGUGCUCCUCUGGACAUCUCUGGGAGCCCCUUCCAGCAUCCAGCUAUGACUUCACAGGAUACAAGAUGAGCAAUCUAGUGGAAGGUUCUGGACCCAUAUAAAAUGUACCCAAGGAAAUUUCAUUAAAAGAAAGAAUAAAGAAAUUUAUUCUUACAAAU
Suricata suricatta (meerkat) is the source of this 645-nucleotide long non-coding RNA. RefSeq lists it as uncharacterized. The record is from RefSeq and is a predicted model, not a curated record. The transcript has 2 exons. Lineage: Eukaryota; Metazoa; Chordata; Mammalia; Carnivora; Herpestidae.